RNAcentral lists this ribosomal RNA (842 nucleotides) under uncultured archaeon. RNAcentral's name for it is "bacterial SSU rRNA". It matches the Rfam family "Archaeal small subunit ribosomal RNA", at positions 479 to 1319 of the family's 1478-position model. The record is from RNAcentral.
GCAGCCCGAGUGGUGAUCACUAUUAUUGGGUCUAAAGGGUCCGUAGCCGGUUUAAUCAGUCUUCUGGGAAAUCUAAUCGCUUAACUAUUAGGCUUCCAGGGGAUACUGUUAGACUUGGGACCGGGAGAGGUAAGAGGUACUGCAGGGGUAGGAGUGAAAUCUUGUAAUCCCUGUGAGACCACCAGUGGCGAAGGCGUCUUACCAGAACGGGUCCGACGGUGAGGGACGAAAGCUGGGGGCACGAACCGGAUUAGAUACCCGGGUAGUCCCAGCUGUAAACGAUGCUCGUUAGGUGUCAGGAACGGUGCGACUGUUUCUGGUGCCGAAGGGAAGCCGUGAAACGAGCCACCUGGGAAGUACGGCCGCAAGGCUGAAACUUAAAGGAAUUGGCGGGGGAGCACUACAACGGGUGGAGCCUGCGGUUUAAUUGGACUCAACGCCGGAAAACUCACCGGGGGCGACAGCAAUAUGUAGGUCAGGUUAAAGGUCUUACCUGAAUCGCUGAGAGGAGGUGCAUGGCCGUCGUCAGUUCGUACUGUGAAGCAUCCUGUUAAGUCAGGCAACGAGCAAGACCCGUGCCCACUGUUACCAGCAUAUCCUUUAUGGAUGAUGGGGACUCUGUGGGGACCGCUGCUGCUAAAGCAGAGGAAGGUGCGGGCUACGGUAGGUCAGUAUGCCCCGAAUCUCCCGGGCUACACGCGGGCUACAAUGGUUGGGACAAUGGGUAUCUACUCCGAAAGGAGUUGGCAAUCUCUUAAACCCAAUCGUAGUUCGAAUUGAGGGCUGUAACUCGCCCUCAUGAAGCUGGAAUCCGUAGUAAUCGCGUUUCAACAUAGCGCGGU